Long non-coding RNA from Sipha flava (yellow sugarcane aphid), 225 nucleotides. RefSeq lists it as uncharacterized. Lineage: Eukaryota; Metazoa; Arthropoda; Insecta; Hemiptera; Aphididae. The transcript has 3 exons. The record is from RefSeq and is a predicted model, not a curated record.
UACAAAUCGAUUAGAAUUUAGCAUAUUUUACUAUAGAAUAUUUUGGAGUUUAGUCGUUUAAACAAAUUGACAAGAUCGAAAUUAAACGAAUGUUAUACAUUAUUGGAUAACCUACAUACAAUUUACAGUUUGUUUGCGUCGAUUUCCUCACCAAGUUCCGCGACAUUUCGUGGAAGCCCCGAAAGUACAGAAAUUUUUGAUCCAAACACGAGAAGUUAUGCGUAC